GGAUAGAGAGACAGAGUGGGAGCAGGUAAAGGGCAGAGAGAGAGAGGGACACAGAAUCCGAAGCAGGCUCCAGGCUCCGAGCUGUCGGCACAGAGCCCGACGCGGGGCUCGAACCCACAAGCCUUGAGAUUGUGACCUGAGCUGAAGUCGGACGCUGAACCAACUGAGUCACCCAGGCACUCCUCUAACAUUUCAGACCUCAGUUGUGUUGAGAACUAUCUCAAACCUGAGGGAAACAAUUUCAGAACUUCCAAUGACCUGCUUAUAUGUUCUCCAUGUGAGAUAAGCCUUGUGUCGAGCUGUUAACAGAUAGCAAGGGGGCUGCGGCCGCUAGACCAGCGAUAGAGCUGUGCACACACCCAAGGAGCUCUGACUUUCAAUACGAUUGCACUGGCCAGUCCUGCUUAUAUGUUAUAAAAAACUUACUUGCUCCCAGAGGGUGAAUGGAUGAACACCAGCCCAUCCAAUUUAACUUUGGCGAAGGGCUACAUCCUGGUUCUUGUCACGUACAGGAAAUGGGAGGCAUUUUCAUGCUGGCAUUUGGCUUGGCUCAGCAAUCCUUCUACCUUCUUGACGGCGCUUAUAUCGGUCUUCUCGAGUCUUUUAGCCUCUGGUCAGUCAGUACUGUUUCUGUCACAGCUUAUCAGUUGCCAUUCUAAAAUCAAGGGGGAUAGCAUAGUUUGAUCGUUUUUCUCCUCACAAAUGGGUCGACGUGCGCAGUCCCUAAUGGGGGACAGGAGUGACAUCUCAUGAUGUCGUUGAAAGACGUCUCAUGAGGUCUCAUGAAGUCAUUGAAAACAAUGUGCCUCCGGGCAGGACAUCCUGGCACAGGGAGGGCGUUGGUGAGGGUGGGGAGGCUGGAGAGGCUGGCACUUGCGGGGAACUUCGGGUGAUGGGUGUGGCUGGAGGGGAAGGGACCCAGGGCCGCUGGAGGAGGGUAAAGGUAGACAGGUGAGCAAGAGCCAGCUCUCGGGGCCAUCCGUGCCCCGUGCACAGUCAGCCUUGUCCUUCUGGGAGUGUCGCACCACGUGAAGCUGGGGUAUGGUGUGGUCAGACAUCAUUUCCUAAGACUGCGUCGGGCAAGGGGUGUGUCAGGUGACCUCCGUGUGGUCUAAGCUGAGAACGACGAGGACCUCAACUCAGACGGGAGGACAGUGAGAGGAGACACCUCCUCGAUGCUUGGGGACAGAGGCCCGACCGUCCGUGAUGAGUCGGAGGCAGGUGGAAAGAGGAAGGGGAUUUUUUUGACGACACUGAUGGCUCCCAGACUGGGGUGAGAGCUGUGAAGACAGGUUUUCUAAGAGCCACUGGAUGGAGGCUCUGAUGGAGGCGAAGAAGGGUCGCGCCGGGCCUGGCCGGGGCGGAGGCGGUCAACUGGUCUGAAUGGCCGUGGGCUGCGAGAGGUGUAGACGAGACUGUGGCUCCAGACUGGAGCCAGCAGCGUGCUAUCUCAGAGAGACCUCGCCUUGCUAACCUGGUCCACCCGGUGGCCGGGGAGUCCCGGGCCUGAAGGGGUUGCUGUGUUAGAGUCAGGGCGUCAGAGUCUUUGAGGAAGGAGAGUCUGAACAAUGACAGGCAGCCGUUGGCCAGCUGGUAGGCUCUCUCUUCGUUUGCCUCCUGCCAGGUGAGGGACUUGCUGCAUCUCGGCCGCUCAGAGUGACAGAGUAGAGGGAUGGUGUCCUUCUGUCUCUUUUACGUUAUUGUCUUCCCUUGUUGGCUAACUAAGCUCAAACGAAUUACCCUGCAUCUUAUGGCUAGACAAGGGGGGAGAAAAGCCCUGAGUACUUUCCACCAGGUCAAAGGUGGCUGGUUCUGCACCCCCCGGGUGGAAAAAUGAUCUUAGACUUUCAGGGACCACAGCAGCUUGCUUUGGUAAAUGUUCCAUUUUCAAGUAACUUACUUCUUGGUGAAGCUCUUUAAAGAGGGGACGUGGUGUUCUUCCCAGACACCCGUGCUCUCGCUGCCGGCCUCACAUAGGUUGCUUGAAGCAGCCACAUGUUUUAGGACCAUAAAGAGCCUUACGGGGGAAGGAGUUCAACCCUGUCCCCGGAUGAAGAGGGAACAUGAUCCAGAAAAGACAAAAUAACAUUUCCAGAGAUAAACAGUGUGUUAACAGUGGUGAGGAUGAAAAUGAACAAAAACACAGGUUUCUUUUUUUUUUAAUUUAUUUUUAAAAAAAAUUUUUAAUCUUUAUUUUUGAGAAAGAGAGAGAGAGCGCGCAGGGGAGGGGCAGAGAGGGAGACACAGAAUCCGAAACAGGCUCCAGGCUCUGAGAUGUCAGCUCUGAGCUCUGAGCCCGACGCGGGGCUCAAACUCACGGACCUCGAGAUCAUGACCUGAGCCGAAGUCGGACGCUUAACCGGCUGAGCCGCUCAGGCGCCCCCAAAAACACAGGUUUCUUAAAUUUCAGUUAAAUAUUCUUUCCCCUUGCUGUCUAAGAAGGAAGAUAUUUCAAAGACUCUGGACACAUAGAGACAAAAGAUAGAUGAUAGAUAGAUAGAUAAUACUUUGUCAUUUAUGUCUAUAAAUGACACACGCAUUUGGUCCUUAAACCAAACUGUUGUGUAGUCAGGGAAAAUAUUUUUAUCCCCAUUUUACAGAUGAGGAAACAGAGUCAUAAUAGCAUCAAAUGGUUUUCCCAAAUUCACAGAGCAAGAGCAUAACGCAAUUGAGAACAGAAACUAUUCCUGGUUCCAACUCCUCUCUUUCUAGUCGAUUUAUUACAUAAUACAGAGGAAUUCCGGGUUCAGCACUCAUUUGCUCCACUCAGUAGACAAGAGUUACCGAAGCAUGCACUUGUGUUAUAUCCUGUUAAGUUCGCUACAUCCCAAGCUGCCCGACGAUAAAGCAGCCUCUAGGCACUAGCCCUUUCGGUUCAUUCCUUCCUUCAAUCACUUCCUUAAAACAUAUUAAAUAUUUUUUUUCAUUAGUGGAGGUCCAUUGACACUUGGGAAAAUUUAUUUAUUUUUAUUUUUUAAAAAAGUGAUUGAUGGGGCACCUGGGUGGCUUAAUCGGUUAAGUGUCUGACUUCGGCUCAGGUCACGAUCUCGAGGUCCGUGAGUUCGAGCCCCGUGUCGGGCUCCGUGCCGACCGCUCAGAGCCUGGAGCCUGUUUCCGAUUCUGUGUCUCCCUUUCUCUCUCUGACCCUCCCCCGUUCAUGCUCUGUCUCUCUCUGUCUCAAAAAUAAAUAAAUGUUUUUUAAAAAAAAAAAAGCGAUUGAUGAAUUGUAAACUAAAGCUCUUGACCCUGCCUAAGACAACUGUGUUUAUACUUACCCUGUGGCUCUGCAACCCCACCUGCUGGGAUGUGCCCUGAGGUGCACCUCUGACUGUAUGAAAAUGGAAGUGCGCAAAGCAGUUCAGGGCAGCCAGGUUAGCUAAAUGCCCGAGCAUAGGACAUAGGGUGGCUGAGCCAUGGGGCACUCAUACAGCUGUUCGAGAAAGCAAGAAAAGUGCUGAGAAAUCGGCAGAAUGUGAUUUCCAGGAAAUGUGAUUCAGCAAAAAAUGGCAGAUUGCAAAGGAGCACGUAGAGGAUGCGUUCUGUGGAGAACACAAGGAAACAGACAUUACCUGCUCACCUUUACAGAAGGCAACAGAGUGAAGAUAAACCAGAAGACAAUGAAACUGGCUUCCUACGAGGGGUUGGGGGAGAGACAGAACGGAAGGCACACGGGAGGGAAGGACCUUCUCUCUGGAUGUCUCCAAGGAUAGCUUUGACCUUCAGAAGCAUAUUCACAGUACUUACAAAUGUAAAAUUAAAUCAAUAAAAAUGGGAAGGGGGAAAACAUGGAAGGAAACCGAAACAAAGGAAGAAGCGAGGGUGUGUGCCCCUUCCAGGGCGGGUGAGCAACUUUGUGGGAGUGCUGAGUGAGGAGGCCGUCACGCACAAGUGGACAAACCGGAACCCUCCAUGGAAGCCAGUUCUGGGCAGAUAGAGAUUCACAGCAGAAUACUCGCCAGAUCUUCGAGUGUCUCCCUACAGAUAGAUCGCUUGCUAGUUUCAAGUGGAACGAAAGGAGUGAUUACACGGAGGGAAAUCAGGCAAGGCCCAGAUCAGGAUUCAGACCACAUGAGCCAGAUGGACAGCGAGAGAUUCCAGAUGCAUAUUCUGAUAAAGACACCACCUCCCCUUGGUAGUAUUUCGGCUGAAAAUGCGUAACCUGAAUCGAACCGUGAGGAAACAUCAAAUCCACACGGAGAAAUGGCUUAUUAAGAAUAGGGAGAUGAGGGGCGCCUGGGUGGCGCAGUCGGUUAAGCGCCCGACUUCAGCCAGGUCAUGAUCUCGCGGUCCGUGAGUUCGAGCCCCGCGUCGGGCUCUGGGCUGAUGGCUCGGAGCCUGGAGCCUGUUUCCGAUUCUGUGUCUCCCUCUCUCUCUGCCCCUCCCCCGUUCAUGCUCUGUCUCUCUCUGUCCUAAAAAUAAAUAAACGUUGAAAAAAAAUUAAAAAAAAAAAAAAAAGAAUAGGGAGAUGAGAUGUCUAUAUUCUUCCAAAAUGUCUGUGUCAUAAAAGACAAAGAAAGGUUCUGGAAAUGUGCCAGAUGGGAAGGAUUCUAAGAAAUAGGGCAAUUAAAGGCAAUCCUCGACCCCUGACUGUAUUCUGUUCUGUGGGGUCUGGGGGGGGUAUUCUAGAAAACACCAACUGGGUGGAAAAAACUGGAGUAUGGACAGCAACCAGAUGAACAUACGCAUCAGUAACUUUAAUUUACCGAAGUUGGCCACAGUGCUGUCUUUAUAUAAGAAAAUAUUCCUAUUCUUAGGAAAUACACAAUGAAAUAUGUUGGGGGGCAAAGGGUCUCACUCAUAACUGAUUUAAAGAAUAGAGUGCACACAAGUGACAUGCAAAUGGAAAUAAAAGGUCAGCAAGAGGGGAAUCUGGGUGUUCGUGGUAUCAUUUUUAUGCUUGCAACUUUUCUGUAAAUUCGAAAUUACUUCCAAAUAAAAAUCUUGAAAAGUGAGUGCUGAGGGGCGCCUGGGUGGCUCAGUCGGUUGAGCGGCCGACUUCAGCUCAGGUCAUGAUCUCACGGUCUGUGGGUUCGAGCCCCGCGUCGGGCCCUGUGCUAACAGCUCGGAGCCUGGAGCCUGUUUCGGAUUCUGUCCCUCCCCUGCUCACUCUGUCUGCCUCUCUCUCUCUCUCUCCCCCUCCUUCUCUCUCUCUCAAAAAUAAAUAAACAUUAAAAAAAUGUUUAAAAAGUGAGUGCUGAAAUAUACAUAGGUGAAAUAUUUAGGAUGAGUUAGGCUGCUUUAUGGAAGAAGACGAAUGGAUACGAUGUGAUUAAAUUUCUGUAUUUACGUGAUCGGUUUUAGCAUCCGAACAUGAUGCGCAGCUAUGAUAUCCUCCUUCUGAAAAGAAACCUUCUGAAAGUCCUCACUACUCUUUGGCUGUGUUAUGUUGCUUGAGCUCAUUUUCUUCAUUUAUAACAUAGACUUUGGGAGCUAAGGGAUUAGUCUCAUUAGAUAAUCGAAUGUUCUUUCUGGCUCUACCAAUCAGUGAUUAGACCAAAUGUUUAUUUUCUGAUUUCAGCUACUCACAACAUUAAAUAAGCUACUUUCAGAUUCUCCAUGUCUCCAAUAUCCUCUUGAGAAUCAUUUUCUCAUGACUCAGAAAUUCUUUUAGGCAUAGAAACGACUGUGCUUAGUGGGUCAACAGGAACAUGGGUUUUUCUAACAAGGUGUUUACAAAACAGGCCGCCAUGUCUGGGCCGGUGACUUUGAUUUUGCUGGUUCUUUCUAUCUGUUCUUGGAAGUGGUCCAAAUUAACACCCCAGUAUCCUAAGAUCUCACUUCUUCUCCAAAUGAAAAGAAUCUGGGAAAAGAAAAAUGAACUGGUCUCUGAGUGGGCGAAGGAGCGCCCGCACUAAAACCGAGCCCCUCCCGGUGUUCGAAGAACCUCAAAGUCCCCUGCAGACCUUGUUGUUCCUACAGUCCUCCUCGGUCGGGGUCUGGAAGCAGUAGCCUGGAGCAGUGAAGCCCAGCUCAAAGCCAGUAUCUUCCCCUCACGGUGGGGAGCCACGGAGCUCCCUCAGAGACCACAGUGCCUUUGCUCCCCCCCCCCACAUCCCUUCCACAGUUGGGCGAAAUGGCUUCCAAGCCCAUAUAACGUCCUAUAAUUUGAUGUGUUCUUUCCCUGAACAAAAGGGGAGAGGAUCCCAGUCCUCACCAAGAUGUCCCCCCCACUGGAAACGGACAAGGAGGCCCUGGCUUGUACAUCAGUUUCUCGAAAGUCUUCACGGAAGCUCCUCCUUCCUGCUCUGCUGGGGUGGCGUCAGUAACACGGAGUUUCCAGGCGUGCAAGGUGGGUGACGCAUCUCCAGCUACAAUCGUUUACGGCCCAGCAGCGGAGCCUGCCUGCCUGCUUGACGUCGAUUACCUGGCCAUCCUCAGCAGAGCUGAACUUAUUUUUGGCUCCGACAAUGACGCCUGCAUUCCAGAACCGCUUCCGUUGGCCCCUCCACACCCCGCCAGCAUGAGACUGGCAUGUCCUCGCUCGAGGUCGCGUCCGGUCACCGCUUCACUUGGCUGCUGCCCUGUCUCUCCUCUUACUUCUUCAGAUGCUCUCUCCAAUUUUCCUUCUAAAACACCAUUUCAUCUCUUUCUGAAAACCCAUCAAGGCCUGGGACACACUUCCAACUCUUUAGCGAGGCCACGAGGCCCCUCACUACCUGCUCACCUCCAGCCCGACACUGGAGUGCCCUGACAUGUUGCAAACCAUCCACCCUCUUGAGCCUCCGGGCUUGCUCUCUGUCUACACUGCGGAGCUCCCUCCAGCCUCCAGGACCUGCCUGGGUGUGAGCUGCCCCAGGCCUCUUCUCUGCCCAACGGUCCUCUCUGGGGACAGCGCUCAGCCCAGGGCGUCUUGUGCACAUGCACCUGUUCCCCUCUGCUGGAUGGGGGCCUGGAGGGGAGAUCCUGGGACGUCGGGGUUUGGAGCCCAGUGAUUACUGAAGGAAUAUAAUGUUUGACUUCUAGAGUGGGCAUUCCAAAGUUUCAGGAACUGGAAGGCAGUUCCUCUUACAGCAGGCAUAAGGCUUGGGCGGGAAGGGAAGGACUAUGAGGGACAAGGAAAGAAGGGGGGAGAGGAAGAAGUGAUUGAAGAAGAAAGUGAGGAAGAGAGAGGAUGACUCCUCAGGGACCACCCACAGACCUAACGGUGCUCUUGGGCAGGGGGCUCACAUACUCUCACACGGAUCUUUCAUUUGGGGGAUAUUGUGGCAGAACAAAGAACCCCCCCCAACAGCCUCCAAGCUCACCUUCUUCUGCUUGCGGACAAAUCAAGCAUCUCUUGAAUGUGUGGUGAGGUGAAGAACUUCAGUGAGGCUAACUCUAGUUUUUAUGUGACUAUAAGCAAAGAUUAAAAAAAAAAAAUCCCAUGAUCAUGAAGCUGGCAUUUUAGCUUUUAUUUUUCAUUUCGUUUUUUUAAAACAUGUUUAUUUACUUUUGAGAGAGAGAGAGAGGAGAGAGAGAAUCCCAAGCAGGCUCUGAGCUGCCGGCACAGAGCCUGAUGCAGGGCUUGAACUCGUGAACUGUGAGAUCAUGACCUGAGUCGAAGUCGGACCCUCCACCGACUCAGCCACCCAGGCGCCCCUGAGGCUAGCAUUUGAGUGAGGAGCUAGAAUAAACAGGGCGAAUCAGUUAACUGGAAAUAGCCCAGGUAGGAAGAUGAAGUAAGGCCAGGGACAGGAAGUGUGUUCAAGUUUUAGGCAGGGUGGCCCCUAGAGCUUCCCAAGGAUGCCCGGGUACAGGUGAGGAGGGGAAGGGAAUGAGCCUAGUUAGGAUUCAGCAGCAGAAGGGUCCAGAGAGGGAUCGGCACGUGUGCACCUCUCCACGUGGGCGCCAAAAAAGGCCGGGGGGGGGGGCUGGGGACCACGGAGCAGGGAGGCAAGAGGCAUGAGCCCUGACGGCCGGGGAUGGGGGGUAAGGGGGGCAGGACUGGCAGAUCAUUUUGAGGACCUCGCUUCCUCGGGCCUGGAGGGACUUUUCCUAGAGAAGGAACAUGGUUUGGAACUCUACGGGAAAGACAGCAGCGACCGACAGGAGGUGGGAUUGGGGGAGCGUCAGCGGGGAGGUAGCGACUUGGCAUCCGGGCAUAUGUAGAGGUAGAGGGCACAGAAUUUGCUGAUGGAUGGAACGUGAGGGAAGGAGAACACAGGAGUCCUUGUUACUGCAGCGUUUUCGGCCUCAGGGCAGCAGAAAGGUUGAAACGUUCGUUCAUUGACCGACGUGGGAAAAGCCGCAGGACAAGCAGGUUUGGGGCGAAGGUAACAUCCGGAACCUAGUUACAGCCCUGUUAGGUGUGCCUUCCGGGCAUCCAGGCGGAGGUGUGACUCAGACUGGGGGUCCAGCCUCAUCUUCUGGGUUCAGAUAGGACUGGACCGGGGGGCUGAGUGAGAGCAGCAGGGCUGGAGGCGUGGGACAUGAUAAGGGGCCGUGGGCCAGUCCUACAGCCUUCCAACAUACAGCCUAUAUGUCCUUCCAACAGUAGGAAGCUGGGCAGAUACAGCUUCAACAGAUGCGACCCCAGGGGACGGCCAGUAAGGGAGGAGGCAGUCCCGGGAGUGUGGUGUCCUGAAGGCCGAGAGAAGGACGUGUCGAUGCGAGGGAAGCGUGAACUCUGCCCCGUGUGGCUAGCAAGUCAGACGAGGUGAGGACUGAAAAUUCGCCUUUGUCCGGAGUGGCGCGGGCUGGCAGGGGGCCGGGGGAACAGCAGAGUUUCUCUGAGUAGUUGAGGCAGAUGUCUUAAGACAGUGUUACUGGGGCUGGUCGAGAGCAGGUGGGAGGUGAGAAGCCAGAGCCAGUCCAGGGCGCGGGCUGGGUGCUGUUGGCUGUGAACAGGAGGGAGGCUGGGUGGGGUGAGGGAGAAGAGGGGCUGCGGAUGGUCGUCUUCCUGCAGGAGAGCCCAGGGCGGUGUGUGUGUGUGUGUGUGUGUGUGUGUGUGUGUUGGAGAGCAAACUGCACAUGACUUGGGAUUAGGCCAUGCCGAGGGGGAGGGUGAAGGCAUUUCCUCUACUGGAAGAGGGGCUGGGGUCCAGUGCCCAAGUGGCAGGGUGACUGUGUACGGGGCAGGAUCACCCGGGAGGAGCCUUCUCCCACAGGCUGGGUCACCGCUGGCUGGGAAGGUCUCUGCAGACACCACACUCUUGGUUGCCUGCUGUCCCCAGGCCCAGCUCGGGGGUCUUGGGGAAGCAAAGGGGUUCGGGUUCACUUUGGCCACGUUUGUGGAAGCCUUUGCGAGCGCAGGUGAGGCUCCUGUGGUGUGCAGGGCGCCUCGGAACUCAAUCUUUCGUGUUCCUGGGUGAGAAGCCCGGGGCGGCGCCCAGCGAGGGGUGGGGGUGGGUGCGCUCCCCUGGGCGGGCGUGGGCCCAGCCAUCAGGCCCCCUCCGGCAACUGCGCGUGGGGGGCGUAAGCCCACGGAUUCCCUUGAGCGGGGUUUUGGCGGCGGAACCGCCCCUUGGGGCGCCCCCCACCCCCGCACCCCCACCCAGGCGCGCGCACCCCUGGGGGCUCCGGGUGGAGGGCGAGCGGGUUUGGGUUGGCAUAGGAGCGCAGAGGGAGGCGACACCCCGGCCCCAGCCGCUGCCCUGCGCCACGUGGCCGCUCCCCUGGCUGUUGCUAAGGUCUGGGAGUUCGGGGGGGGCACACAGGCCUGGCGGGUCCCGCACCCCCGCUCUCANNNNNNNNNNNNNNNNNNNNNNNNNNNNNNNNNNNNNNNNNNNNNNNNNNNNNNNNNNNNNNNNNNNNNNNNNNNNNNNNNNNNNNNNNNNNNNNNNNNNNNNNNNNNNNNNNNNNNNNNNNNNNNNNNNNNNNNNNNNNNNNNNNNNNNNNNNNNNNNNNNNNNNNNNNNNNNNNNNNNNNNNNNNNNNNNNNNNNNNNNNNNNNNNNNNNNNNNNNNNNNNNNNNNNNNNNNNNNNNNNNNNNNNNNNNNNNNNNNNNNNNNNNNNNNNNNNNNNNNNNNNNNNNNNNNNNNNNNNNNNNNNNNNNNNNNNNNNNNNNNNNNNNNNNNNNNNNNNNNNNNNNNNNNNNNNNNNNNNNNNNNNNNNNNNNNNNNNNNNNNNNNNNNNNNNNNNNNNNNNNNNNNNNNNNNNNNNNNNNNNNNNNNNNNNNNNNNNNNNNNNNNNNNNNNNNNNNNNNNNNNNNNNNNNNNNNNNNNNNNNNNNNNNNNNNNNNNNNNNNNNNNNNNNNNNNNNNNNNNNNNNNNNNNNNNNNNNNNNNNNNNNNNNNNNNNNNNNNNNNNNNNNNNNNNNNNNNNNNNNNNNNNNNNNCCCCCCCCGGGGGCGGGCUGGCAGGUGCGGGGGUGGGAGCCGUCUCCGUGGGAGCAGCCUUGCCAAAGGUCCGGCUGCUGACGUCGGAGAGCGCCCGCUCCUGUCAAUGAAGGCAGCGGCAGCCUGGGGACGGUCUGGCAACGAGGCUACAGACGUCAUCGCCUCCUGUUGGACGCGGGGGGUGUCCGAGCAGCGGCUCCGGCUUAAAGCAAAACUCUCCAAGUUCCAGGCAGCCGCGGAGAGUCGUUCCUGAGAGCACAUGCACCCCCAGAUGCCCAGUGUGCGCGGCACACGGGCUGGCACACGCGCGCGCGCACACACACACGCACACACACGCGCGCACACUCGCACUCCUGUUCUGCAUAGAUGUGUGGGUCCAAACUUGCGGCAGCACCGAGAGAAUGGGCUGAGAUGGACCGGUCCUCCUUGGCGCCUGGAGGGCUCAGCGCGGCUUCCCUCGACACCCCCAGAUGGAAGGGAGGGAAAGAAGACCGUGACACCCCGUUUAGAGUUGUCCCCCCCUUUUCUGAGAAGAUCGGCGCGAAAGCCGGGGUGCCCGAAGCCUUUGGAAUAUGCCUGCUUGGCGGAGCCGGAGCGAGCGUUCUUGGAGAGGUCCCGAACUUGGGCCACCGGCCUCGCCUGGCAACUCGUUUUGCGCAGUUUUCGUCGGAGCCCUGGACCCGCCGCGCUCCUGGCCGGCUGGCGCCGCCACCCCCACCUUUUCCCUCUCCCUUUUUCAAAGGCACGAACUUGAAAUGAAGCGGAGACCAGGUCCGCGCCUCAGCACACUUUGGCGGGUAAGUUGAUAGUUGCUUUUACCUAUUAUUUAACCCUUGGGAGUCCGGAAAAACUUCAUUCGAACCUUUUCCCCGACUCUCCCCCCCGCCCCCGUCCCCCCAUCAUUUACGUCCAUCCUCUUUGUCAGUGAGAUGGGGCGCGAGCGUGUCGUUUGGGAACACGGCUGCUCCGGAGGAGAGUGGCUCGCGGGAGGGGGGAGGACGAAGCCCGAGUCUGUAGAAGCCAGACUCAGGGCUAUGAGACUGCAGCCAACUCCGGGUGCUGAGUGAGUGCCUCCGGGCCACUGCCUGGCCCGAGUUUCCAGCUCCAAGUUCCCCGCGAAGGCUGCCCUCCAGCCCCGUGAUGCCAGCCUGGCAGGUGCCGGGUGAAGCGGCCAAGAGGAGCUGCUGGUGUUCCAGCACCUUCCUUCCUCCCUUCUUGGCUUCCCCCUGGAGUUCUGGAUGGGGGCAAAUCCCCCUCCUCCUCUCUCCAUCCCUCACCUCUGCUGCCACUCUCCUCUGCCCCCCCCACCUCCCCCCCCAGUCCCUUUCUCAAAAGCCUACGUGAUGUCAUCGGGAGGAGGGUUCGGAACCUCCAGCACCUGAAGGCAUCACUGUAUCGCACCCUGCAGCAUUUGAUUUUCUUCAUUCCACCCAAUUCUCCUUGCAGUCCACGGAAAGCACUCCCCACUAAAUAUCACAAACAGUGUCCCCCCUCCCACACCCCCCCCCGCUCUUUCAUGAACGGACAGGGCCAGGGGUCCCAGUACAGGGAACCCCCCCCUCCCCCUCCCAGAUUAGGAAGAAAUCAGCUGAGGGGCCCCGAGGAGCCUCUCCUCUCUGGGUGCUGAGCUCUCCUCCGCUCUCAGCUCACCCUUCUAGUGGAAAGAAGAAGAGGCAGGAGGAAGGAGAGAGCCGGCCGGUGCCAACAGCCCCCUAGACGUGGAGCUGCUCGGCUGAACGGAGGGAUCUGUGCGCCAGUCCCUGCCUCCCCUGCCUCCCCUGCCUCCCCUGCCCUGCCUGCCCUCCAUCUCCCUCCCCGGUCUCUACUCCCCACCCCUUCCGUCGCGCUUGCUCCCCUCCACCUAACCCCACCUUCGCUCUCCUCUCCGAGGGGGGAGGGCCCGGGGUGAGGAAAGAAACCCCCAAAGCCCCAGUCCCGGGCAGAGAUGUCGAAGAAACGCAAAGCCCUCGAGGGUGGAGGAGGUGGAGGAGAGUCCCCGAGCCCAGAGGAGGAGCCCAGUGCCCGGCCUGGGGGCCGAGGCAGCCCGGAGCAAGGU
This 12309-nucleotide long non-coding RNA is filed under the name Lynx pardinus (Iberian lynx). The stretch from base 4965 to 5049 matches the Rfam family "tRNA". The record is from RNAcentral. Lineage: Eukaryota; Metazoa; Chordata; Mammalia; Carnivora; Felidae.